This 206-nucleotide long non-coding RNA is filed under the name Elaeis guineensis (African oil palm). RNAcentral's name for it is "long non-coding RNA (EGUI_LNC023947)". The record is from RNAcentral. Lineage: Eukaryota; Viridiplantae; Streptophyta; Magnoliopsida; Arecales; Arecaceae.
UCCAUUCAUCACCACCUAUAUUAAGAGAAAUCACUGAGUGAGAAUCAUCCAUAAUUCUAGAUUUUAGGACAUUCAAGCUUUGUGACAAAUUUUCACUUAAUAUGCUAUAUUAUCUUGCCUGCAAUACGCCAGGGAUGUUAAACUUUCAACUGAAAGCAAAUUUCUUCUAUUCUUUUUGGUCGAUCAAAAAUAACUCGAUCGCUUGG